GCCGCUUUGAGAGGAGCAAGGCAAGGAAAAAGUCUUGCUACUCUGACGGCCGGAUAGGCAACACGAAAGACUAUCCUCGUGCUGGAACUAAAAACACUGAAUGUGCCUACACACCCUCCUCCCACGAAUCCUCGGGACCUCGAGCGCCGCCUAUUCCGCAACAACAGUACCGGCGGAGAGGCCCGGGGUGCAUGGACGGGUGCAUCCACAGGCGUGAACAAUCGUGAACAAGCGUGGGGUACGUGCAUGAUCAAGUAGCGGAGUAGGCGCACGGUACGAGCGUGAGCCGGAGUGAGAGCAAGUGUCGCACGGGGCGCGACUGUCGCUCGCUCCCUUUACCCGCUCUCAGGACCAUCAAGACAUCGAGGUACCAUCAUCUCGUCCUCCUCCACGGCACAGAAAGAAAUAGAAGCGCGCCAAACUAUUAGUGCAAACUAUAAGUGCCUAACAGUGUGCAGCAUAAAAAUGUGCAUGUUUUGCGCUCGCGGUCGUGGGUUUCCCGCGCAGCCAGAAGCGGCGGCCUCGGCUCCAGCGACAGCUGCUGCAAGUGUAGGGAAGCCCCACCGCCCCCGGCACCUCCCACGGCGGCCGUAACCAGUUUCGCUGUUUUUGUCGAGUCAUUAUGGACAAAAACAACGUUUUUUCCCGCUGUGUUGGAAUCACCGGACCUACUACUGCCAAGGGCCGGACAGGAGAGGCGCCUCCAGAUUUUCCACGUUAACAUCCUGCCUUCUAAUGUGACCGAAAGUCAACGAAAGCAGGAAACUAAUGCUGACCUUGAACGGGAAAAUCUAACUUGACAUUAUAUUUUGUUGGUGAAAGUGAA
Molecule: long non-coding RNA, 826 nt
Organism: Penaeus indicus
Lineage: Eukaryota; Metazoa; Arthropoda; Malacostraca; Decapoda; Penaeidae
Exons: 4
Source: RefSeq, a predicted model, not a curated record